GGAUAGAAAAGCAUGUCAUAUUUUUCAUACUGAAAUUUACAACCAAACUUUUAUACAUGGCAUUAGACAGAGUACUUCACAAGCUAUUCGCGAACUUCAAAGUCUCACUCUAUCUACACAUAUACAAAGGGUUCACAAAAGAGGACGGGAUCUCAGUCCUCAUCCGGGUCGUACUCAAGAUCAUCCUGAUCCUUUUUGACUCUUCUUCACUAAGCUCAUUUCCUUCGAGCUCUUCAUCUUUUUCUAGCUCAUCGUCAUCUUCUAGUUCCUCCUCCUCAGGCUCAUCUACUGGCCUGAAAUGUUGUCCCACAACCGGGAUGAGACUACGUCUCAGCAAGUUCUACCCCAUUAAGGCCCGAUUAGUGAACCAUUAUACUAUAGGUUGUCUAAACACGCACAGGUCAGAGGACUUACCUUGGCCUCAGAUCCCACCUGCAAGUCAGUACAAUUCAUAAUAGGCACCCAUUUACUCAAAACAAAUCAAACUAGUCGAUUACAUGUCACACAAAUCAUUCCCCACGGUGGAAUAUCUAAAAGCUAGGCCAUGUGCAUUCUCCAGGACAACAUCCUAGGUCUCCGAGUCACGUGCCUCAAACCUUGGGCCCACGUGAAUUCUCUAAGGCGACCUCUUUGCCAAGGUGGUACAUCAAGUCAACGAGCCACGUGCCCUUUUAAAUGUCAUUCUCAAAUACCGAACCCACGUGCAUUCUCUAAGGCACUAGUUCGCCAAAGUGACGUAUCAGAUCACCGAGCCACGUGUCAUUUUUACAAUGCCCGGGCUCAAGUGCCUUCUCUUAGGUGCUGUUUCACCAAAGUGAUGCAUCAAUUCACCGAGCCCACGUGCCCUUUUUAUGAUGCCAUACACUGUCACUGAGCCACGUGUAUUCUCUAGAAGGGCAUACCAAGUCUCCAAGCCACAUGCAUUCUCUAAAGCGACCUCUUCGCCAAGAUGACAUAUUCAACCACCGAACUCACGUGCAUUCUCCAGGUGAUAUUCCAAUUCACCAAGCCCACGUAUUUUCUUUCAGGUGAUUACCAACUUACUUUCGAUACCGACAAUCAAUACCCAACGAUUUCUCAAUCAAAUAAUUAACAACAAUCAUUUAGGAACAUAUCCUAAAAUUCCACAUUUAAUUCAAUUUGGCAUGAUUCAAAGCUCAAAUAAAUAAACGGACUUCACCAUGAUCACCAGCAUAAAAUUCUAGUCACCGGCCAUCCCGGUUGAAUUUCUAGAAAAAUAAAUAAAUAAUUAAUUAAUUUCGAAAAUUAAUAAUUAAUUACUAAAAAUCCAAUUUAUGCCUGAAAAGCCUAAUUGAAGCCCGCUAAGGGUCAGGAAAAAUCCCGAGAUGCUUUCAAUAAAUAGUAGACUACGUCUACUUGCUAAUUGCACAAUCAAAUUGUCUAACAUGCAUCACAAUUGUCUAAUAAUCACUAUUCUAUUCUAAUCUAACCACAUAAUUGCAUUUAAUUAAAUCUAACCAACCCCUAAGCAUAAUUAGCAAACUAAGCAAGGAUUAGUGAGAUUACUCACUUGAUUGAAAGCGGAGACCGGAUUACCGUGACGGCGACGUGACGACGGCCGAAACUCGAACUUUUAGCGGCGUCGGCGGACGCUCGUGCCGGGCCCAAAAGCCUUGCAAGCCCACAGCAAAUUGCUUUGCUUGGUUGAUGGGCUUAGGCCUGAUUCUUGGGCUUAACUUGCUGGGCUUCAAAGUCUGGGUUUGUCUUCGGAUGGGCCGACCUUGCGAGCUGGGCCGAACUUGUUAGAUCUGUGGGCUUCACUGGAAAAUGGAGGCAGUGAACUGGGCUGGGCUCAAUUCUAGCCUGACUUACGGCCCAAACGGGCUGAACUAACGGGCCCCAAAAGGCCUUGGCUUGCGCUGGAAAAGAAGGUUGCUAGACUGCUCGGUGGAAUCAUGGGCUCAAGAAAAUGCUUUGCUAGGUCAUUGAUGGAGUUGCUGGGCUUCGAGACUUCAACUGGCCAAAGACACGCGGACGCUGUUGCUGCUGAAGACCAUGCGGGCUGAUGACGCAUGAAUGAAAGCAGCUGCUGGCAAAGACGUCCGUGGAGAUGCAGCUAGCAUCGUUGCCGAGAGAUGGAGCAGACGGGCUGGCUUCACUCGGUGGUCAACGAAGUGGGAAGAAAUCCGCUGCUGUUGAUCGUGAAGGAGCAAGCAUGGACGCGUGGAGAGGCAGGCGUGCUGGCCGAAGCUGGGGUCUUCGCUGGACGCACAAAGGGGCUGCAGCACUUCAUGAGACAAAGAAGUGGAGGAGAAGAAUGUCGAUUGGCUGUCAGUGGGUUUCUUUGGGCGGUCAACCGCUGGCUUUCGGUGGAAAGGAAACGCUGCACGUUGCAGGGAAAUCCAGUGCAGUGAGCGGCAGUUUCAUAGCAGCUGAAGAGGGAAAUGAAAGAAAAAGACAGCAGGUUUGGUGGGGACGGACGCUCGAAGACUAAAGGGAAAAGAAAUCAGGCAACUGGCUUGGAAGACUUUGACCGAGUGGGACAAUUGAAGGGAGAGAGAAAAUAAGAUAAGGCCGCAAGAAG
Molecule: long non-coding RNA, 2545 nt
Filed under: Eucalyptus grandis
Lineage: Eukaryota; Viridiplantae; Streptophyta; Magnoliopsida; Myrtales; Myrtaceae
Description: long non-coding RNA (EGRA_LNC003067)
Source: RNAcentral